This is a long non-coding RNA of Ixodes scapularis (black-legged tick), 215 nucleotides long. RefSeq lists it as uncharacterized. The record is from RefSeq and is a predicted model, not a curated record. The transcript is spliced from 4 exons. Lineage: Eukaryota; Metazoa; Arthropoda; Arachnida; Ixodida; Ixodidae.
CAGCCGGUCACCCUGUCCAGAGCAGCUCAUGAUCUCGCGGAGGCCAGCACCUGGCACGGCACGCCUUCGUACAGCCAGCUGGUCACCCUGUCCAGGGCAGCUCCUGAUCUCGUGGAGGCCAGCACGUCGUAUGGCACGCCUUCGGACAGCUAGCCGGUCACCCUGUCCAGGGCACCUCACGAUCUCGCUGAGGCCAGCACGUCGCACGGCACGCC